GACGAACGCUGGCGGCGUGCCUAAUACAUGCAAGUCGAACGGUUUAGUUCCUAGAGGCUUGCCUUUUGGAACUAGACAGUGGCGGACGGGUGAGUAACACGUAGGCAACCUACCUGUCAAACCGGGAUAACCUCGGGAAACCGAAGCUAAACCCGGAUAAGCUCCUUUUUCGCAUGAAGGGGGAGUGAAAAGGUGCGACCUGAUGACAGAUGGGCCUGCGGCGCAUUAGCUAGUAGGUAGGGUAACGGCCUACCUAGGCGAUGAUGCGUAGCCGACCUGAGAGGGCGUACGGCCACACUGGGACUGAGAUACGGCCCAGACUCCUACGGGAGGCAGCAGUAGGGAAUCUUCGGCAAUGGGCGAAAGCCUGACCGAGCAACGCCGCGUGAGUGAGGAAGGCCUUCGGGUUGUAAAACUCUGUUGUUUGGGAAGAAGGGAAAGGGUAGGACCCUUAGGUGACGGUACCAAACGAGAAAGCCCCGGCUAACUACGUG
This 494-nucleotide ribosomal RNA is filed under the name uncultured bacterium. RNAcentral describes it as "partial 16S ribosomal RNA". It matches the Rfam family "Bacterial small subunit ribosomal RNA", at positions 28 to 507 of the family's 1533-position model. The record is from RNAcentral.